Plutella xylostella (diamondback moth) is the source of this 1759-nucleotide long non-coding RNA. RefSeq lists it as uncharacterized. The record is from RefSeq and is a predicted model, not a curated record. NCBI's taxonomy places the organism in Eukaryota, Metazoa, Arthropoda, Insecta, Lepidoptera, Plutellidae.
CAACUAUAGGUUAUGUGCUCCAUAAUGAAUAUAAAGCUAUCGAUAUUUCUACUUGAGCAAUGUUCUACAAAGUGUAAUCUUGCAGGAAUCAACAACUGGAAUCAUAGCGGUGCAAUGUUAAUUUUCAUAUGAAUUAAUCUGGCCUUCUUCUUCAUAGCUUGUUGGUGACAAUGAAUCUGGUCUGGGUUUGUCACCGUGGCGGUGAAGACACUGGGGAGUCAAGUUGGUGUCAGUUGCUUACUGUCCACCUGUGGCACAGCUGGAUGUGUGUUCGAAACUAAAACUUCAAAGACGGUAAACCAAUUUACAAGCCUGGUGCAAAAUCUCCAGGAACCAUGCAAAGAUUACUCUGAAUGACAAGAGAUGGCUGGCCAUUUUGGUCAGACUGGCCGAGCUGGAUGGCAACCAGAUGGUGCCGAUGCAGUGCCGCCGAGCAGUGUGCCCUGUAUGCGCGCUGCAGUCUGGUGGGCGCGCAGGCAACCGCCUGACGCGGGUGCACUGCUGGUGUGCAGUUUGCGCUGUAUGCGCGCUGCUAUCUGCGCUGUAUGCGCGCUGCUGUCUGCGCUGUAUGCGCGCUGCUGUUUGCGCUGUAUGCGCGCUGCUGUCUGCGCUGUAUGCGCGCUGCUGUUUGCGCUGUAUGCGCGCUGCGGUCUGGUGGUCGCGCAGGCAACCGCCUGACGCGGGUGCACAGCAAGCAUGCUGUCUGCGCUUGAUGCGCGCUACAGUUAACCAUAGACGGCUGACGUGGAAGAUGCAUCGACGGGUGUUGCAACGACGGGCAUUUACAAGUUUUCUUCAGACCGCUCUCGACGGGAUCUCACGCAGAAAUGCGUUGAGUGGCUUUGCCUUUCGUUCAUAAUAUGAAUGACUGCGCUUGGGCGGGGCCGCCUGCUAUGCGGGUGGUUACUGCGUUGGGCAAACUGCGGGGUGUCCGACUUUUUCUACAUUUCAAGAUGAUGAAUGACAUGGAUCCAUGUGUGAGAUGACUAAUGUUGGUCGAAGCCUGAUAGUUAACUGGCUGUGGUUCAUGAAACCUAACCUUUCAUGAAUCAAUAAUCAUUUUUGUUAUUUUGAAUGUUCGAGAGUUAAGACAGAGGGCCCUGAAAGAUCGAUGAACAAGAGAUUAGGCAAAGCUGUGACCACUAGGGUCGUAACUAACAGUGGGCUCUUUUGCAGAACUCUAUCUAUAUGGCAGACAUUGGGCUAAGCAGCCUGCCGCUGCCGCGACAAGUCUCCCUCCCCUACGGGACCCUCCAGGGCAUGCCGCCAAGCUGCCAAAGCGUCGCGACGGCGUCACCGCUGAACAACCAAGCUGAAGACAGCCAAGACCCUCCACCGAGCCGCUUGUCUCUCAGUAUGAGGAGAAAGCUUACAUUGAAGAUGUGCCCGAGGACGGUGCACAGUCAGGAGAGGCCGUGUUGGCAACCUCGUACAAAAUAUAGUCUGUGAAGUUAUUAUUCCGAGCGGCAACUAGUCUGUGAAUCCUCUAUUUCAAUAUAAAUUGUCUAUGGUCAUAUUUUCUUUCUUGCCGCCAUUGCGGUUUGUCAAGAACACUACUUUUUUGUGCAACUUGGAUAAAUAAUCUUCACGGAUUAAAUUAACAGCUUAGUGGUUCUUUCCUUUGAUUAUUGUGCAUUGUAUCAUGGUUGAUUGUUUUCUUUAUUAUUUCUUUGUAUAAUUUCGAUUCCACAGUACAUUUGGUUUAUAACUUAGAUUCUAAAUAUUUCAAUUGUAAUAGAAACUCAAGUGCUUAUUCUGA